UACGGAGGGGGCUAGCGUUGUUCGGAAUUACUGGGCGUAAAGCGCGCGUAGGCGGACCUGCAAGUCGGGGGUGAAAGCCCGAGGCUCAACCUCGGAACUGCCUUCGAUACUGCGGGUCUCGAGUCCGGGAGAGGUGAGGGGAAUUCCUAGUGUAGAGGUGAAAUGCGUAGAUAUCGGGAGGAACACCAGUGGCGAAGGCGACUUCCUGGCCUGUUCUUGACGCUGAGGCGCGAAAGCUAGGGUAGCAAACGGG
This 253-nucleotide ribosomal RNA is filed under the name uncultured bacterium. RNAcentral describes it as "partial 16S ribosomal RNA". It matches the Rfam family "Bacterial small subunit ribosomal RNA", at positions 524 to 776 of the family's 1533-position model. The record is from RNAcentral.